Molecule: ribosomal RNA, 467 nt
Filed under: uncultured bacterium
Lineage: Bacteria
Description: bacterial SSU rRNA
Rfam family: Bacterial small subunit ribosomal RNA
Source: RNAcentral
GCCAGACUCCUACGGGAGGCAGCAGUGAGGAAUAUUGGUCAAUGGGCGCGAGCCUGAACCAGCCAAGUCGCGUGAGGGAUGACGGCCCUACGGGUUGUAAACCUCUUUUGUCGGGGAGCAAAGAGAGUCACGUGUGGCUCAUUGAGAGUACCCGAAGAAAAAGCAUCGGCUAACUCCGUGCCAGCAGCCGCGGUAAUACGGAGGAUGCGAGCGUUAUCCGGAUUUAUUGGGUUUAAAGGGUGCGCAGGCGGGGGUGCAAGUCAGUGGUCAAAUUGCGGGGCUCAACCCCGUACUGCCGUUGAAACUGCAUCCCUUGAGUGCGCGAGAAGUAUGCGGAAUGCGUGGUGUAGCGGUGAAAUGCAUAGAUAUCGCGCAGAACUCCGAUUGCGAAGGCAGCAUGCCGGCUCCACACUGACGCUGAGGCACGAAGGCGUGGGUAUCGAACAGGAUUAGAUACCCCCGUAGUC